UAAAAGUCGUAACAAGGUUUCCGUAGGUGAACCUGCGGAAGGAUCAUUAAAAAAUUGGACUCCAUUGGUGAGUCCAUUAAUAAUCCCUACCCUUUGUGAAUUUGUUUGUUUGAAUAAUCUUUUUUCCAAAAAAAAUUAUUGAAUGUCUUUCCUUGUUUUGGUGGAGCUUGUAAUGUGAAACCAGGCAGGGGAAUGGCAAACAAUAAUUAUUUUUGAAAAAGACCUUUUUUUAAAAUUAAACUUUUUGUAUUCAUUUGUCUAAAAUUAAUUUUUAUAAUAUAAAAACAACUUUUGACAAUGGAUCUCUUGGUUCUCGCAACGAUGAAGAACGCAGCAAAAUGCGAUAAGUAGUGUGAAUUGCAGAAUACGUGAAUCAUCGAAUCUUCGAACGCAUAUUGCACUUUUUUAGUUUACUAAAAAAGUAUGUCUGUUUGAGUAUCAGUAAAAUAUUCUCAUAAAAAACAUUGUUUUUUUUAUGGUUAUGAGUGUUUUACAACGAUAGCAAGUUGUUUCACUUUAAAUUCUUUGUUAUCAAAAAAAUCAUUAAAAGCUAAUUUUAAAGAUUUUUUAAAAUUGGAUAAAAUUUUCCCGUAAAAAGGAAUAACCUAAACAAUUUUAAAAAAUUAAAAUUGGUUUGAUUUUUUUUGAAACCCAAAGGAAAAAAAGACGAAAUUAACCUGAUCUCAAAUCAGAUAAGAGUACCCGCUGAACUUAAGCAUAUCAAUAAGCGGAGGAAAAGAAACUAACUAGGAUUCCCUCAGUAACGGCGAGUGAAGCGGGAAGAGCUCAAAUUUGAAAUCUUCAAGGUUUUACCUUGACGAAUUGUAGUUUAAAGAAGUGUUUUCUGUUGGAGUUUUGGUAAAAGUUCUUUGGAAAAGGACAUCAUAGAGGGUGAGAAUCCCGUAUUUGGCCAUUAUCUCCAGCUUUGUGAUACACUUUCAAAGAGUCGGAUUGUUUGGGAAUGCAGUCCAAAAUGGGUGGUAAAUUUCAUCUAAAGCUAAAUACUGGCGAGAGGCCGAUAGCGAACAAGUACCGUGAGGGAAAGAUGAAAAGAACUUUGAAAAGAGAGUUAAACAGUACGUGAAAUUGUCAAAAGGGAAGCGUUUGACACCAGUGUUGUUUUCUCGAAAAUCAAUUAAAAAAGGCCGGAUUUUGUGUUGUGUUGACUUUAUCAGCUUUCUGCACUCUUUUCUUGUCUUUUUUAAUGCACUUUUCGUUUAACAAGUCAACAUCAAUUUCUUUUGUUGUAAAAGGGUCAUUGGAAGGUGGCUUUCUUUUCGGAGAAAGUGUUUAUAGCCUUUGGCCUCUGCAAUCGGGGAGAUUGAGGUCUGCAGCGUAGAUCCUUCGGGGUAGAUACAUUUGUGCUAAGUUGUAGCCUUUCAUAGACAACUUGUUGACUAUGAUCAGUCAUGUAGCUUACUCGCUUAUGCUAUUUUACCUACGCUUAGGAUGUUGAG
RNAcentral lists this unclassified non-coding RNA (1457 nucleotides) under uncultured Neocallimastigales. RNAcentral describes it as "partial contains small subunit ribosomal RNA, internal transcribed spacer 1, 5.8S ribosomal RNA, internal transcribed spacer 2, and large subunit ribosomal RNA". The stretch from base 679 to 1457 matches the Rfam family "Eukaryotic large subunit ribosomal RNA", at positions 1 to 630 of the family's 3401-position model. The record is from RNAcentral. Lineage: Eukaryota; Fungi; Neocallimastigomycota; Neocallimastigomycetes; Neocallimastigales.